CAGAUUUUAAUGGUCGAUAUUGCAUUCAGUAUUUUGGAAUAACAAAAUGCAUACAUAAAUAAAUCUAUUUUCUUUACAUAUAGCACCUUACGUUUGGGAGUGAUUUAUUGCUGAAUUUUAAACUACAAGUUUAUAUUAAACUCUUUUUUUAUAAAAAUUGGUUACCCAUAUACUUUAACUCUGUAAACAAUGGCACUGUCAGUGCUUGAAACAUUACGACAGAUUCUGACAUGUUCAAUCUGCAUGGAGAUUUUCAAGGACCCGAGACAGUUGCCAUGUCAACACACGCUGUGUCAACAGUGUAUGAUAUUGUGUAUAAGGAAGAGAAGAAAAAAGGGACGGAACAAUUUAAUGUUUCCUUGCCCCGAUGUGUCGAAAAGAGAUCGAAAUUGACAAAACCAAUCCAUUGACAUACACAUUUCCAAAAAAACAUGACGAUACAAAACCUAAUUGAUGAUUUUGAAAAUGACAUCAAAGGCAUUAUUGACAAUCAGCAUGACACUGAAAAGAAAGAAGUUUUUCCAAAAACAGAAAGGAUGGAAAAUAAAGCAAUGCAAGACGCAGAAACACAAACUGUUUCCCCACAUUUAGAGGGGCUAUUAAUAAAUCUGACAAAUCAACUUUUCCCAAUGACAAUCACACUGAUAUGGAUAAGAAAUGUGAAGAUAUUUAUUUGGAAAGUAUAUGCAUUGGUCAAGUGGAUCAUUCUUAACCUAACCCAGUUUGGGUUAACUAUGCUGAAAAUGGUUGGCUUGACAUCAUUCAUUUUUAUCUCUUUUUUGCUGAUUUAUUGUGGGAGUUGGUAUAUUGUUUUAUAUAGCUCUGGAUGCCAAUCUAUUACUGCCAAUGUAUUUUACAUUAUAUAUCAUAUUAGUGAACCUUUCUAUGAAGCUGGAAAAUUAAUUAUUUUCAACUUAUUAUACCAUCUUGUGAACGUCUGUGAAAUUGUCUUCACAUCCGGGAUAGAAAUUAUCAUCAAUUUGUCAUACUAUCUUGAUAAUAUUUGUGAUAAUGUCCACACAAAGGCAAAAGAAGUAACCCUCAAUUUGAUAUACUGUCUAGAUUACAUCGCUGAAAUCGUCUAUACAUCAGGGAUAGAAAUUACCAUGAAUUUGUCACACAAUUUUAAUAUUAUUUGUGAAAUUGUCCACACAAAAGGGAAAGAAAUCUUUUGAAAUCUGUACGUUAUUUUAGGACUAUUCUUAAUAUUGUUGCCAUGUCUUACUAUAAUGAUAAUGCCAUACCUUAUUGGAAACCCGAACGUUCGAUGGAGACAAACGGACAGGUUAAACACACGUGGUGGCAGAAAAAAACACAGAACAAAAAUGUUGCAUAUUAAGAGCUGAAAUAUAAGCCUAUUUCCAAGUAUAAAUAACAUGAACAUAAUUAAUAAAAUUAAGGAAUGAAUUACAGGCUUGAUGUCAUUAUCUGGGUAUGAACACAAUUGGGCUGGUCAAAGUGUAUGAGUCCGAAGGACUCCACGCGUACUUUGACCAGCCCAAUUGCGUUCAUAACCCUUAUAAUGACAUCAACCCCGCAAUUCAUUACUUAUAUUUACACCAAUAGUUCCUUAUUUCAUUCAAGAAUUGUUAAAAAAAUACUUAUUUCAUUUAAAAAAAACAACUUUCAUUAAUCCUUUCUUACCCAUUCUGUAAAUACAACGACCCGACUGUUACCGGAAACAUUUUUCAAAUGACGUCACAAUAAUGCGGGAAAAGAUCAACCACUUGAAAUCACUUUUAAACGUUAAAUUUAAACACUAAUGGCAACAAUACGUUUAAAAUCUAACAAAUUAACACUUUCUAAAAUGUUGAUUUAUAUUUUACGGGACCUACUGACACAAUAUAAACAAUAACAAGAUCAAUAGUUUUCAUGUAUAUUGUUAUGCGAUGAAUGGCGAUCCGAACAUAUCCAAACAUGUUGUGUUCAUCGAUUGAUGAAAGCAAUUGCCAAAAUGCAGUUCAUUUAAGGAAUGGAAGUUGAGGUGUAAAUAUUUAAUAGUGACAACACCUGUUAAAAGUUUUACACUUCAUAAUUAUAUCUCAAAUUUUUAUUAGAUUAUAGUGAAUUCUUGGAAUAUUCUAAUUUAGACAUCACUUUUCUCACUUUACCUAGGAUGAAAACAAAUUAAAUUGAUUUUUAACCAAUGUAGCCAAAUUUUUAAACUGCUUUAAAUUAGGAUUUUCUUAUUUACAAUAAAUCUGAGGUCCCUUCCUCUGAGUGUAGAAUGACGAAUGCCAACUUUAUUGGAAAAUCAGGAGUGAGUUGCUACUGCUGAUCAUUAUCCAACCAACUUCUAGACAAUGGUACCUUAGCAGACAGGGCCACCUAGGUCUAUCCAUCUAUUUUGACUCUGGUCAUAAAGAUGUCUACGCAACUCACCCCAGACAGUAUAUGACAGAAUGUACAUUUAACAUUAAACUAGUUUUGUGUUGUGUGUUUUGUUCUUCCUAGCUUGUCUUUGAAACUUCAUUUUCAAUGCUUGUAGUUUUAUUUCCAGCGGAAUGUUUUGUUUGAAUUGUCUUACACUUGCACUAUCAUCUACCUUCUGGUAUAAAUACAACUAGGAAUAAAUCAUUGGUUUUAAUGUA
Mya arenaria is the source of this 2591-nucleotide long non-coding RNA. RefSeq lists it as uncharacterized. The transcript has 2 exons. Lineage: Eukaryota; Metazoa; Mollusca; Bivalvia; Myida; Myidae. The record is from RefSeq and is a predicted model, not a curated record.